GACGAACGCUGGCGGCGUGCUUAACACAUGCAAGUCGAACGGAAAGGCCUCUUUCGGGGGGUACUCGAGUGGCGAACGGGCGAGUAACACGUGAGUAACCUGCCCUUGACUUUGGGAUAACUUCAGGAAACUGGGGCUAAUACCGGAUAGGAGCUCCUGCUGCAUGGUGGGGGUGGGAAAGUUUCGGCGGUUGGGGAUGGACUCGCGGCUUAUCAGCUUGUUGGUGGGGUAGUGGCUUACCAAGGCUUUGACGGGUAGCCGGCCUGAGAGGGUGACCGGCCACAUUGGGACUGAGAGACGGCCCAGACACCUACGGGAGGCAGCAAGGGGGAAUAUUGCACAAUGGGUGGAAGACUGAUGCAGCAACGCCGUGUGCGGGAUGACGGCCUUCGGGUUGUAAACCGCUUUCGCUCAUGACGAAGCUUUGUGUGACGGUAGUGGGUAAAGAAGCACCGGCUAACUACGUG
This 467-nucleotide ribosomal RNA is filed under the name uncultured bacterium. RNAcentral's name for it is "partial 16S ribosomal RNA". It matches the Rfam family "Bacterial small subunit ribosomal RNA", at positions 28 to 507 of the family's 1533-position model. The record is from RNAcentral.